CCAACCGGUAAGAAGGACACAUGCU
This 25-nucleotide non-coding RNA is filed under the name Mus musculus (house mouse). Lineage: Eukaryota; Metazoa; Chordata; Mammalia; Rodentia; Muridae. The record is from RNAcentral.